CAAAGAGGGUAAAAACCCCGUAGACGAAAUGUGGAAGACACCUAGGAGGAUCCUGAGUACGGCGGAACACGAGAAAUUCCGUCGGAAUCCGGGAGGACCAUCUCCCAAGGCUAAAUACUCCCUAGUGACCGAUAGUGAACCAGUACCGUGAGGGAAAGGUGAAAAGCACCCCGGAAGGGGAGUGAAAUAGAACCUGAAACCGUGUGCCUACAACAAGUCAAAGCCCGUUAAUGGGUGAUGGCGUGCCUUUUGUAGAAUGAACCGGCGAGUUACGAUUGCAUGCGAGGUUAAGUUGAAGAGACGGAGCCGCAGCGAAAGCGAGUCUGAAUAGGGCGUUUGAGUAUGUAGUCGUAGACCCGAAACCAUGUGAUCUACCCAUGUCCAGGUUGAAGGUGCGGUAAAACGCACUGGAGGACCGAACCCACGUACGUUGAAAAGUGCGGGGAUGAGGUGUGGGUAGCGGAGAAAUUCCAAACGAACUUGGAGAUAGCUGGUUCUCUCCGAAAUAGCUUUAGGGCUAGCCUCGGAAUUGAGAAUGAUGGAGGUAGAGCACUGUUUGGACUAGGGGCCCAUCUCGGGUUACCGAAUUCAGAUAAACUCCGAAUGCCAUUCAUUCAUAUCCGGGAGUCAGACUGUGAGUGAUAAGAUCCAUAGUCGAAAGGGAAACAGCCCAGACCACCAGCUAAGGUCCCAAAAUAUAUGUUAAGUGGAAAAGGAUGUGGGGUUGCACAGACAACUAGG
RNAcentral lists this ribosomal RNA (741 nucleotides) under Enterococcus faecium. Its description in RNAcentral is "partial 23S ribosomal RNA". It matches the Rfam family "Bacterial large subunit ribosomal RNA", at positions 356 to 1097 of the family's 2925-position model. RNAcentral also lists the same sequence under 1 other name. Lineage: Bacteria; Bacillati; Bacillota; Bacilli; Lactobacillales; Enterococcaceae. The record is from RNAcentral.